RNAcentral lists this ribosomal RNA (253 nucleotides) under uncultured bacterium. RNAcentral describes it as "partial 16S ribosomal RNA". It matches the Rfam family "Bacterial small subunit ribosomal RNA", at positions 524 to 776 of the family's 1533-position model. The record is from RNAcentral.
UACGAAGGGGGCUAGCGUUGUUCGGAUUUACUGGGCGUAAAGCGCACGUAGGCGGACUUUUAAGUCAGGGGUGAAAUCCCGGGGCUCAACCCCGGAACUGCCUUUAAUACUGGGUAUCUCGAGUUCGAGAGAGGUGAGUGGAAUUCCGAGUGUAGAGGUGAAAUUCGUAGAUAUUCGGAGGAACACCAGUGGCGAAGGCGGCUCACUGGCUCGAUACUGACGCUGAGGUGCGAAAGCGUGGGGAGCAAACAGG